RNAcentral lists this ribosomal RNA (465 nucleotides) under uncultured Klebsiella sp. Its description in RNAcentral is "bacterial SSU rRNA". It matches the Rfam family "Bacterial small subunit ribosomal RNA", at positions 338 to 795 of the family's 1533-position model. The record is from RNAcentral. Lineage: Bacteria; Pseudomonadati; Pseudomonadota; Gammaproteobacteria; Enterobacterales; Enterobacteriaceae.
CCUACGGGCGGCUGCAGUGGGGAAUAUUGCACAAUGGGCGCAAGCCUGAUGCAGCCAUGCCGCGUGUGUGAAGAAGGCCUUCGGGUUGUAAAGCACUUUCAGCGGGGAGGAAGGCGGUGAGGUUAAUAACCUCGGCGAUUGACGUUACCCGCAGAAGAAGCACCGGCUAACUCCGUGCCAGCAGCCGCGGUAAUACGGAGGGUGCAAGCGUUAAUCGGAAUUACUGGGCGUAAAGCGCACGCAGGCGGUCUGUCAAGUCGGAUGUGAAAUCCCCGGGCUCAACCUGGGAACUGCAUUCGAAACUGGCAGGCUAGAGUCUUGUAGAGGGGGGUAGAAUUCCAGGUGUAGCGGUGAAAUGCGUAGAGAUCUGGAGGAAUACCGGUGGCGAAGGCGGCCCCCUGGACAAAGACUGACGCUCAGGUGCGAAAGCGUGGGGAGCAAACAGGAUUAGAUACCCCAGUAGUC